ACUCCUACGGGAGGCAGCAGUGGGGAAUAUUGCGCAAUGGGCGACAGCCUGACGCAGCGACGCCGCGUGGGGGAUGAAGGUCUUCGGAUUGUAAACCCCUUUCGGGAGGGAAGAUGGGACGGGCAACCGUUCGGACGGUACCUCCAGAAGCAGCCACGGCUAACUUCGUGCCAGCAGCCGCGGUAAU
Molecule: ribosomal RNA, 187 nt
Filed under: uncultured bacterium
Lineage: Bacteria
Description: partial 16S ribosomal RNA
Rfam family: Bacterial small subunit ribosomal RNA
Source: RNAcentral